Molecule: ribosomal RNA, 838 nt
Filed under: Kitasatospora sp.
Lineage: Bacteria; Bacillati; Actinomycetota; Actinomycetes; Kitasatosporales; Streptomycetaceae
Description: bacterial SSU rRNA
Rfam family: Bacterial small subunit ribosomal RNA
Source: RNAcentral
UCGUCAGACGAACGCUGGCGGCGUGCUUAACACAUGCAAGUCGAACGAUGAAGCCUUCGGGUGGAUUAGUGGCGAACGGGUGAGUAACACGUGGGGAAUCUGCCCUGCACUCUGGGACAAGCCUUGGAAACGAGGUCUAAUACCGGAUAUGACCUGGGAGCGCAUGCUUCUGGGUGUAAAGCUCCGGCGGUGCAGGAUGAUCCCGCGGCCUAUCAGCUUGUUGGUGGGGUAAUGGCCUACCAAGGCGACGACGGGUAGCCGGCCUGAGAGGGCGACCGGCCACACUGGGACUGAGACACGGCCCAGACUCCUACGGGAGGCAGCAGUGGGGAAUAUUGCACAAUGGGCGAAAGCCUGAUGCAGCGACGCCGCGUGAGGGAUGACGGCCUUCGGGUUGUAAACCUCUUUCAGCAGGGAAGAAGCGCAAGUGACGGUACCUGCAGAAGAAGCACCGGCUAACUACGUGCCAGCAGCCGCGGUAAUACGUAGGGUGCGAGCGUUGUCCGGAAUUAUUGGGCGUAAAGAGCUCGUAGGCGGCCUGUCGCGUCGGAUGUGAAAGCCCGGGGCUUAACCCCGGGUCUGCAUUCGAUACGGGCAGGCUAGAGUGUGGUAGGGGAGAUCGGAAUUCCUGGUGUAGCGGUGAAAUGCGCAGAUAUCAGGAGGAACACCGGUGGCGAAGGCGGAUCUCUGGGCCAUUACUGACGCUGAGGAGCGAAAGCGUGGGGAGCGAACAGGAUUAGAUACCCUGGUAGUCCACGCCGUAAACGUUGGGAACUAGGUGUUGGCGACAUUCCACGUCGUCGGUGCCGCAGCUAACGCAUUAAGUCCCCGCCUGGGA